CUACCUACGGGGCGCAGCAGUGAGGAAUAUUGGUCAAUGGGCGCGAGCCUGAACCAGCCAAGUAGCGUGAAGGAUGACUGCCCUACGGGUUGUAAACUUCUUUUAUAAAGGAAUCAAGUGAGGCACGUGUGCCUUUUUGUAUGUACUUUAUGAAUAAGGAUCGGCUAACUCCGUGCCAGCAGCCGCGGUAAUACGGAGGAUGCGAGCGUUAUCCGGAUUCAUUGGGUUUAAAGGGUGCGCAGGCGGGCCUUUAAGCCGGCGGUGGAA
Molecule: ribosomal RNA, 267 nt
Filed under: uncultured bacterium
Lineage: Bacteria
Description: partial 16S ribosomal RNA
Rfam family: Bacterial small subunit ribosomal RNA
Source: RNAcentral